RNAcentral lists this long non-coding RNA (1306 nucleotides) under Zostera marina. Its description in RNAcentral is "long non-coding RNA (ZMAR_LNC005093)". Lineage: Eukaryota; Viridiplantae; Streptophyta; Magnoliopsida; Alismatales; Zosteraceae. The record is from RNAcentral.
UCAAACGAAACUUAAGUAUUUUCGAGCGGCCUGGCCGCCAGGAUUUUUUAUAUAUAUAAAAAAAAUUCCAGACUUUUCUCAUUUCUCCCAAACUCUCCCAACGUCUCCCCACUUCUCCAAACUCCUCCCAACUUCUCCAAUCUUCUCCAAACUUCUCCAAACUUCUCCCAAAUUGUCCAAACUUCUCCCCAAGGGCGUUUAUAGCAUCUCCGGCCGAUUUGAUCGAACACCUCCGGCCAUUCCUCCCCAAGGUAAUUUUCUCCCCUUCUUCUUCAACUUCAUCUUCUUCUUCAUCUUGUCCAUGUUAUAAUUUAUAUCAUCUUUUCCUAUUCUUCUACAUUUUCUAUAUAUGUAUGUAUUUGGUGGUUUAUAUAUUGGGGUUAGAUGUUAGGUUGAUUUAUUUUUUUGAUUUUGGGGGUUUGAUUUUGGGGUUUUGAUUUUGGGGUUUUGAUUAGAUCGAUAUUAAAUUGAAUUUAUAAUUAGUAACUUUUAUAUUAAGUUAAUAUGUAUCAUUAUUUACCUCUUGCUCAACUUGUCCCAACUCUCAAGCUUGCAAUUCAUUAGUACAUUAUAUUAUUUAAUUGUAGUUGAUUUUUAAAAUAUUAACUAUAUUUGACUGUAUCAUUGUCUACUGGAUUGGUUACAAUUUUUUAAUGGACGGAUUGACACCCAAAGAUUGGGUUACUAUUAUUAUUGGGUUACUAUUACUAUUAUGGUUACUAUUAUUAUUAGGUAUCCUAAUUACAUAUAUACUUAAUACAUAAUUAGGACUAUUAUUUAUAUAUGAAUCGUUAGGAUACUUUAUACUUAAUUAGGAUACAUAAUUAGGACUAUUAUUAUUAUCACCGUUAUUUUAUAUAUGAAUCGUUAAAUUGACCAAAUAUACUAAAUUUAAUUCAUAACUUACUAAGAGCUAUUGGGCUCACUUAAUUAAAUAAUAAUUUACAUUUUGUAAGUUGUAAGUCAGUUAGUGUUUUAGUAUAAUUAUUGUGACUUAAUUUAGUGUAAUUUAUUUUAAUUGACUUUAUUUUAAUUCUAUUUUAAUUUAGUGUACUGUUUUUAUUGAGUGUUAUGAUUUUAAUUUAGAUUUUGAAUAUUUAGGUUUAUGUAUAUAUGUUGGUUUUCAAUAUUUAGGUUUAAUUCAUUUUAAUUUAGUGUUUGUUUAUGUACUGUUGGUUUUGUAUUGGUAAUUCAUUUUAAUUCAUUUUGUAGUAUUUUAAUUUUAUAUGUUAAAAUUAUUUUAGGUUUAAGGUUUGUUUUGCGGAUUUACAAAUUUGUGAUUUGAAGGCCGGUGUUAGUUUUGAAG